AUACAGUUGACGAGUCCUAGAUAGGACGAAACAAUUGUCCUGGAU
RNAcentral lists this non-coding RNA (45 nucleotides) under Schistosoma mansoni. Lineage: Eukaryota; Metazoa; Platyhelminthes; Trematoda; Strigeidida; Schistosomatidae. The record is from RNAcentral.